UACGUAGGGUCCGAGCGUUGUCCGGAAUUAUUGGGCGUAAAGGGCUCGUAGGCGGUCUGUCGCGUCGGGAGUGAAAACUUACAGCUUAACUGUGAGCGUGCUUCCGAUACGGGCAGACUUGAGGUAUUCAGGGGAGAACGGAAUUCCUGGUGUAGCGGUGAAAUGCGCAGAUAUCAGGAGGAACACCGGUGGCGAAGGCGGUUCUCUGGGAAUAUCCUGACGCUGAGGAGCGAAAGUGUGGGUAGCAAACAGG
RNAcentral lists this ribosomal RNA (253 nucleotides) under uncultured bacterium. Its description in RNAcentral is "partial 16S ribosomal RNA". It matches the Rfam family "Bacterial small subunit ribosomal RNA", at positions 524 to 776 of the family's 1533-position model. The record is from RNAcentral.